ACUGACCUGGCCAUAUCACGCUGAGAGCACCGGUUCUCGUCCGAUCACCGAAGUUAAGCAACGUCGUGCCUAGUGAGUACUUAGAUGGCUGACCGCUUGGGAAACCUAGGUGCUGUAAGCA
Molecule: non-coding RNA, 121 nt
Organism: Octopus bimaculoides (California two-spot octopus)
Lineage: Eukaryota; Metazoa; Mollusca; Cephalopoda; Octopoda; Octopodidae
Source: Rfam